RNAcentral lists this ribosomal RNA (393 nucleotides) under uncultured bacterium. RNAcentral's name for it is "partial 16S ribosomal RNA". It matches the Rfam family "Bacterial small subunit ribosomal RNA", at positions 523 to 918 of the family's 1533-position model. The record is from RNAcentral.
AUACGGAGGAUACGAGCGUUAUCCGGAUUUAUUGGGUAUAAAGGGAGCGUAGGUGGAUUGUUAAGUCAGUUGUGAAAGUUUGCGGCUCAACCGUAAAAUUGCAGUUGAAACUGGCAGUCUUGAGUACAGUAGAGGUGGGCGGAAUUAGUGGUGUAGCGGUGAAAUGCUUAGAUAUCACGAAGAACUCCGAUUGCGAAGGCAGCUCACUAGACUGUUACUGACACUGAUGCUCGAAAGUGUGGGUAUCAAACAGGAUUAGAUACCCUGGUAGUCCACACAGUAAACGAUGAAUACUCGCUGUUUGCGAUAUACAGUAAGCGGCCAAGCGAAAGCAUUAAGUAUUCCACCUGGGGAGUACGCCGGCAACGGUGAAACUCAAAUGAAUUGGCGGGG